ACCUUCGUGGUGUAAUGGUAGCACACUCGGCGCGUAUUCGAGAGGUCCAGGUUCGAGUCCCGGCGAGGGCA
RNAcentral lists this transfer RNA (71 nucleotides) under Stegodyphus mimosarum. It matches the Rfam family "tRNA". From Rfam's summary of the family: Transfer RNA (tRNA) molecules are approximately 80 nucleotides in length. Lineage: Eukaryota; Metazoa; Arthropoda; Arachnida; Araneae; Eresidae. The record is from Rfam by way of RNAcentral.